Esox lucius (northern pike) is the source of this 548-nucleotide long non-coding RNA. RefSeq lists it as uncharacterized. The transcript has 3 exons. The record is from RefSeq and is a predicted model, not a curated record. NCBI's taxonomy places the organism in Eukaryota, Metazoa, Chordata, Actinopteri, Esociformes, Esocidae.
CUUCUUAAGCUGUCUCUUGAUGAACUAGUUAAUCAGUAAAAUGUUUGUUAUUUUAGCCAACCAAGUUAACAAGAUCAACCGUUAUCUGACGGAUACUCGCAACACCACCACACUACCAAUUGUGUGUAUUGGCUGCACACACAAAACGGUGAAUCCUGGGUGCAUUUCCUUGUGUGGUCCAACAAUGCAGCUAGAGUCAAAUACUCGAGCCUAGGUAUAUGUAUCUGAGGAAGGGGACAGUGUGCAGUGGGUGUGUGGUUUCUGUUGCCAGACAGUGUUUGUAAGGCCUCAAGGUCCACCAGCUUCCCGAACUUCAUCAGCAUCAGCUGCUUACAGCGCGCCUCAAGGGCUACAAACACGCACAUACACACAAACACAAGCCAAGUUCCCUUUCAGUCAGCCACUUCAGUACAACACAUGGAUCACCGCACUUAAAAUAUCAACUAGAGAUUAACUGUGAGCAAGGUUCUGUCAUGGCUGUUGAGGCAAAAAAAACAAACUUCCUGGUAAAGCAUGCAGUGUGAACACCAUGUCUACCCAGUCCCCUC